Molecule: ribosomal RNA, 626 nt
Filed under: bacterium KS180
Lineage: Bacteria
Description: bacterial SSU rRNA
Rfam family: Bacterial small subunit ribosomal RNA
Source: RNAcentral
GAAGAAAGCUUGCUUUCUUUGCUGACGAGCGGCGGACGGGUGAGUAAUGCCUAGGGAACUGCCCAGUCGAGGGGGAUAACAGUUGGAAACGACUGCUAAUACCGCAUACGCCCUACGGGGGAAAAGAGGGGACCUUCGGGCCUUCUGCGAUUGGAUGUACCUAGGUGGGAUUAGCUAGUAGGUGAGGUAAUGGCUCACCUAGGCGACGAUCCCUAGCUGUUCUGAGAGGAUGAUCAGCCACACUGGGACUGAGACACGGCCCAGACUCCUACGGGAGGCAGCAGUGGGGAAUAUUGCACAAUGGGCGCAAGCCUGAUGCAGCCAUGCCGCGUGUGUGAAGAAGGCCUUCGGGUUGUAAAGCACUUUCAGCGAGGAGGAAAGGUUAAGUGUUAAUAGCACUUAGCUGUGACGUUACUCGCAGAAGAAGCACCGGCUAACUUCGUGCCAGCAGCCGCGGUAAUACGAGGGGUGCAAGCGUUAAUCGGAAUUACUGGGCGUAAAGCGUACGCAGGCGGUUUGUUAAGCGAGAUGUGAAAGCCCCGGGCUCAACCUGGGAACUGCAUUUCGAACUGGCAAACUAGAGUCUUGUAGAGGGGGGUAGAAUUUCAGGUGUAGCGGUGAAAUGC